GACGAACGCUGGCGGCGUGCUUAACACAUGCAAGUCGAGUGCGUAGCCCUUUGUAGCAAUACAGAGGGUGGGCGCACGGCGCACGGGUGAGUAACACGUGGGUAACCUGCCCUUCGGUGGGAAUAACCCGCGAAAGCGGGGCUAAUUCCGCAUAACAUUCCGGGGACACAUGUUCUCGGACUCAAAGGAGUGAUUCGCCGGAGGAGGGGCCCGCGCCCGAUUAGCUUGUUGGUAGGGGUAACGGCCGUACCAAGGCUUUGAUCGGUAGCCGGUCUGAGAGGAUGGCCGGCC
RNAcentral lists this ribosomal RNA (291 nucleotides) under uncultured bacterium. RNAcentral describes it as "partial 16S ribosomal RNA". It matches the Rfam family "Bacterial small subunit ribosomal RNA", at positions 28 to 309 of the family's 1533-position model. The record is from RNAcentral.